RNAcentral lists this ribosomal RNA (405 nucleotides) under uncultured bacterium. Its description in RNAcentral is "partial 16S ribosomal RNA". It matches the Rfam family "Bacterial small subunit ribosomal RNA", at positions 30 to 525 of the family's 1533-position model. The record is from RNAcentral.
AUUGAACGCUGGCGGCAGGCAUAACACAUGCAAGUCGAACGAGUGGCGGACGGGUGAGUAAUGUCUGGGAAACUGCCUGAUGGAGGGGGAUAACUACUGUAAACGGUAGCUAAUACCGCAUACCCUCAGCUGUGCCCAGAUGUGAUUAGCUUGUUGGUGGGGUAACGGUCGACCAAGGCGACGCGCCCUAGAUGGUCUGAGAGGAUGACCACACACCCGGGAACUAAGACACGGUCCAGACUCCGACGUGAGGCAGCAGUGGGGGAUGUUGCACAAUGGGCGCAAGCCUGAUGCAGCCAUGCCGCGUGUAUUAAGAAGGCCUUCGGGUUGUAAAGUACUUUCAGCUGGGAGGCGUUACCCGCAGAAGAAGCACCGGCUAACUCCGUGCCAGCAGCCGCGGUAAUA